UUCAGCUUACGUUUUUGUAACCAAAUCAGUUG
This 32-nucleotide non-coding RNA is filed under the name Mus musculus (house mouse). The record is from RNAcentral. Lineage: Eukaryota; Metazoa; Chordata; Mammalia; Rodentia; Muridae.